Molecule: long non-coding RNA, 2576 nt
Filed under: Homo sapiens (human)
Lineage: Eukaryota; Metazoa; Chordata; Mammalia; Primates; Hominidae
Description: HSALNT0246947
Source: RNAcentral
UUCAUGGCAAAAUAAUUUUGGAACACAAGGAGGCAGAAAGAACUGUGUCCCAAUGUUGUGAGAAGAGAAAGACACAAUGAACCACUGCUGGCUUUGAAGAUGGAAGAGGGAGCUGCAACCCAAAGAAUGCCUCUAGAAGCAGGAGAAGGCAAGAAACAGAUUCUCGCCUAGAGCUUCCAGAAAGGAGCACAGUGCCAGCACUUUGAUGUUAGCCAUUCUUAAGAAGUGACUCUCCAGGGGAGCUAAAAUCCAUGUAUUUGGGCACACACUUGAACAAUAUUGCUAGAGAAAUUUAAGCAAGAGCACAAAGGUUAAUGACAUCUCUUGUGGGGACCACUGUGAGAAUAAAACAAGGCACUACGUUGUCUGGGAUGAUGGAAGGAGCUAAAGUCUUCAGUGAAUGAAGGAGCAGGACCAGGAGCUCAAAAUACUUCUUUGAAGACAAAGAAGAAAUGAUAUUACCAAAUGGUUGGCUCAAAAGAACAGGGAUUUUGCAACAGAGAGAGUAUGUCAUGGUCUUGAACAAGCAAUGAAAGAAUCAUCUGAAAGGAAUGUGGAGAUCAGAGAAAAAUGAUGGGAAAGUUACCACAGCCUGCAAAUGAGAAAUGAUGAGAGCCUGCCUGGGACAAAGAAUCUACAAUAGAUCUUCUCCAGCAGCUCUGGAGGUCAGACCCAGCUGUGGAGAGAAUCAUUUCUAAAAAACUAGAAGGCACGUUGGGAGACUACUACUUUCUGUGGAUGAAUGGGAAAUUCAAGACAGAAAAUGGAUGGGCGAUAUGGAAAUACAACUGUUUUGCCAGGACGAUUAAAUAUCAUUGAUGCUUCUGGUCUACAAUUAGUCAGAGAAGAGAUUAAAAAAAUGAUGAGUAUUCAAGAAGGAAAGUGUUUGCUUUAACAUAUGAAGAAAAGGAGCUUCAGAGUGGUGAUUAACCCCAGAAUUGUGUGGAACGGAUAUGGAAACAAGACCACAGGAGCAUCGAGAACUGAGCAGAACUGAAGGUGACAUGAAAAUCAGCUGCAAGAUUCACCUCAGGGUGAUAAUGGGCUGCAGGUGGCUGCAGGAAUCCCGGGACAUUCUAGGCACUGCCAUAUUUUCUUAGGGGCCAGUAAGGAUGGCUAUCAUCAGAUGUACCUGAUGAUACAAACAUGGGCUGUCUUGCCUUCUAGUAUUCAUUCUUGAUGAUUGCAUCCAGAGCUCACUUUGGAGGUGCAGAUCAACUCUUCUUCAGGCUCAUCCAUGCGACUUGAGUGGGCUCUCAUCCCCAUUCCCAGGGGCUUAUGACAAUCAAGGUUUCCACUCCUCCAUGGUCUCAAUGGUUUUUCUCCCCAUGGGAAGCACAUAAUCCCAUUAGAGGCCACGGGAAGCUUUUUUGUUGGGCUUUGAGGGAAAAAAGGCUUUUGCAGCCAAUGAAUCGAUCAAUGUGUACUUCAACCUGGAUUGUAUGUAUGCAUCUCCUAGAUUGGGCGGAUGAUGAAGUGAGGCUGGAAGUGCUGAGCAUCUUCCUACCUGGGAUGACUGGGCUGAGCAGGAAGCCUACCCCGGGGUUCCAGCCAAGUUGGAGCCUGUGAGUGUGUGGUGUAGUUUAACGCCCUGAUUAAAUCACUAGGAAGCCAUUUCUCUCUCUCCUCCCAGACCAGAUCAGACAAUAUGUUCCCUUAUUUCUACUAAAGCCCCAAUUGGAUUUUGUGUCUUUUGAUACUGAAAGAAUCUUACCACAAAUAAAAUAAUUUGUCAUGUGGCUCCUACAUAUUUAUUCAGUUACAUAAACUAACUAAAUAAAUGAAUAAACUGUCAAUAAUGGUAGUUCCUCAUCUAUGAAUGACUCUUUACAAAGCCUAUCUCGCUUAAUAGUCAUAAUAAAUACUGAAGUAGAUACUAUUUAUACCUUUUUUUUAAAAGGAAUUAAAUAUUUUCAGGGUUAUACAAAGCAUGAGUAUUGUGGGUACAAAUUCAAGCUUUCUAACUCAAAUUUGAAGACUUAUCCCCAGGAUACUUUUACAUCUUUAGCUAGUACCAUGUAUACCUCAAAAGCUUACAUUAUUUUUCACAUGUGUUAGGUUUUGAGGGAUAAUCAAUAAGGAGGGCAUACUUUCAGGCUUCUUAUUUAUAACUGUGAAAUUUAGAAAUUGAUGGAGUAGCAGAUUUCUCGGUAGGAGACAGCUGUUUUAAAAUGCCCCAUGUUUUUAUUAAAGUAAAAAUCUCAAAAAUUGUCUUUUAAAAAGUGGCUCUGGCCAAUCUUAGAUAAAACAUCAUUUACUAGACUUAGGAAUUUCCUGUAGUAAAUUUCAGAUUUACUUUUCGGUCUCACAUCAUCAAAGAGAUCAUAACCCUUUGUGCAAUUAUGGUCUUGAACCAAGGCCUAUUCUCUAGGUCACUGCUGUCAGGACUUCAAGAUAAUUGUUUCCAUUGCAGGAUUUGAUUUUUAAUUCCCCGGAUGUUCUUGACGUGGUUCAGUUCUUCAGGAAAUCAUCACCCUCAUGAGCCCUCCCUGCCACUUGCAGAUAGGGCUUUCUCCCGGUAAGUUCUGGAGUCACGGCAGAGCUCAAUAAGUCUGAUUGGGACCUCCUAUGAUUAU